GCAGGGGUAGCCAAGCCUGGCCAACGGCGCAGGACUUAAGAUCCUGUCUCGUAGGAGUGCGUGGGUUCGAAUCCCACCCCCUGCA
Molecule: transfer RNA, 85 nt
Filed under: Thermoplasmata archaeon
Lineage: Archaea; Methanobacteriati; Thermoplasmatota; Thermoplasmata
Also listed under: 1 other name
Description: tRNA-Leu
Rfam family: tRNA
About the family: Transfer RNA (tRNA) molecules are approximately 80 nucleotides in length.
Source: RNAcentral